Molecule: ribosomal RNA, 253 nt
Filed under: uncultured bacterium
Lineage: Bacteria
Description: partial 16S ribosomal RNA
Rfam family: Bacterial small subunit ribosomal RNA
Source: RNAcentral
CACGUAGGGUCCGAGCGUUGUCCGGAAUUACUGGGCGUAAAGCGCGCGUAGGCGGCUUUGUAAGUUAGAGGUGAAAGCCCGGAGCUUAACUCCGGAACUGCCUUCGAUACUGGCGAUCUUGAGUCCGGAAGAGGUGAGUGGAACUCCUAGUGUAGAGGUGGAAUUCGUAGAUAUUAGGAAGAACACCAGUGGCGAAGGCGGCUCACUGGUCCGGUACUGACGCUGAGGUGCGAAAGCGUGGGGAGCAAACAGG